RNAcentral lists this ribosomal RNA (432 nucleotides) under uncultured bacterium. Its description in RNAcentral is "bacterial SSU rRNA". It matches the Rfam family "Bacterial small subunit ribosomal RNA", at positions 677 to 1105 of the family's 1533-position model. The record is from RNAcentral.
AGCGGUGAAAUGCGUAGAUAUAUGGAGGAACACCAGUGGCGAAGGCGACUUUCUGGCCUGAAACUGACGCUGAGGCGCGAAAGCGUGGGGAGCAAACAGGAUUAGAUACCCUGGUAGUCCACGCCGUAAACGAUGAGUGCUAGGUGUUAGGGGUUUCGAUGCCCUUAGUGCCGCAGUUAACACAUUAAGCACUCCGCCUGGGGAGUACGGCCGCAAGGCUGAAACUCAAAGGAAUUGACGGGGGCCCGCACAAGCAGUGGAGCAUGUGGUUUAAUUCGAAGCAACGCGAAGAACCUUACCAGGGCUUGACAUCCCGCUGACCGGUAUAGAGAUAUGCCAUUACCUUCGGGUACAGCGGAGACAGGUGGUGCAUGGUUGUCGUCAGCUCGUGUCGUGAGAUGUUGGGUUAAGUCCCGCAACGAGCGCAACCCU